GAUGAACGCUGGCGGCGUGCCUAACACAUGCAAGUCGAGCGAACAGACGAGGAUCUUGCUCCUCGCACGUUAGCGGCGGACGGGUGAGUAACACGUGGAUAACCUACCUAUAAGACUGGGAUAACUUCGGGAAACCGGAGCUAACACCGGAUAAUAUAUUGAACCGCAUGGUUCAAUAGUGAAAGACGGUUUUGCUGUCACUUAUAGAUGGAUCCGCGCCGCAUUAGCUAGUUGGUAAGGUAAAGGCUUACCAAGGCAACGAUGCGUAGCCGACCUGAGAGGGUGAUCGGCCACACUGGAACUGAGACACGGCCCAGACUCCUACGGGAGGCAGCAGUGGGGAAUCUUCGGCAAUGGGCGAAAGCCUGACGGAGCAACGCCGCGUGAAUGAUGAAGGUCUUCGGAUCGUAAAACUCUGUUAUUCGGGAAGAACAACUGUGGAAGUAACUAUGCACGGCUUGACGGUACCGAAUCAGAAAGCCACGGCUAACUACGUG
This 497-nucleotide ribosomal RNA is filed under the name uncultured bacterium. RNAcentral's name for it is "partial 16S ribosomal RNA". It matches the Rfam family "Bacterial small subunit ribosomal RNA", at positions 28 to 507 of the family's 1533-position model. The record is from RNAcentral.